This 393-nucleotide ribosomal RNA is filed under the name Neorotalia calcar. RNAcentral describes it as "partial large subunit ribosomal RNA". Lineage: Eukaryota; Foraminifera; Rotaliida; Rotaliidae. The record is from RNAcentral.
CGUAAUAAUAGAAACUAACCGGGAUUCCCUUAGUAACGGCGAGUGAACUGGGAAGUAGUGCGUGCGAUUAAUUCACUCUGUGAUUUAUUCGCAGCUCAGCCCGUCGAUAUAAUCCAUUCUUAGCGUGCAGUUACUUCGGUAUCUCUCGCUGGAAGGAAUUGUAGCAUCGAAUACACAUUCAAGUUGUAUCACGCAUCAGACACUCAUACGCUCCUACAGUCUCGCAUACACAUCACUGGUUGAAACACACAGCGUUUAGCGUUGGAAAGCAAUUAUUGUAGUUUCACUACAGCCAUAGAGUGUGACAGCCACGUUUUAUGGAGUGAUAACCAUAUGCAGACACACACCGCGUCGAUACGUAAUUCGUGAAUGUUGAACCUGAGCGAGUUGUUU